GUUUGUUUUUGAAAAAAAUAAGCGUAAAACUGAUUUGGAAAAAAGAAACAAUUGCCGCAUAAUUGUUUCGUUUUGGAGGGUAAAGUUUGGUGCCCGAUGCUUUUCCAACGGUGAAACUUUUACCCUCGCAAAUCCGUCGAAAAUAUAAAAUAUUUUCUUAUACAUGUAUAAAGUCAUCAUCUCAUUUCCAAAUGAGUGAACUCAGCGUUACAAACACGCUCUUGAGAUACUUAUAACAUCGAUCAUUUCCUUUUCGUGACUAGUUUCCAUGUCCUUGGAGUGAAAUUUAUGUGAAUCUGCAUUGAGAAUUAGAUUUGAUAUAAUCUUGCUUGGUUUGACUUGAGUACUAGCUCACAAAACUUCAACUUAAGGCAAAUUUUCUAAGUUUAUGAUAGUUAUGUGUGUGUAUUGAUGCACAAAAAUGCAUUGAUGUGCAUUCUUCUAGGAGCUUAUUCAAGUCUGACUUAUAACAUGUUACAGAGUGGAUGGUUCAGAUAAAGAAUCAAAGAUCUCAGAUGAUGAUUAUGGCGGGACGUUACUGCUUGUGACGAGUUCUCCACUUAGAUUUGAUCGAUAACUCUAACCACACAAUAAUAGUGCUGAAUUGAGAUAGAAAUUUAAUGAAGCUUUUGAUCAAUAAUGGUGACGACGAAAGGCUCCAUCUAAGUCGACGAAGAAGACAAUAUAUAUUAGAGUUCAUGAACUCAACGUGGGUUUAGUAGUUUCAACCUAUAGAGGAAAAAUAAAAACAGAUCAAAGAUAAUCAAAUAAAAACCAACAAUCGUUGGAGAGAGAUUUGUUUACCCCUUCACGUGGAUGCUAUUAUUAAAAGACGGCUACGUCUAUGAAUUUGAUGAGCUAACAACUGAAGGCGACGAACAGAUCACGACUAUGACUUUUUUGAUGAGCUAAGAACGGAAGAAGGCGACUAUAACUUGUUCAAUAUAUAAUUUUGAGAAAAUAUGGGGAUGCUAAAUUCUAUUUUUAUUUUUAAUAUUAUCCACAAAUUUUAUUUGAGUAAAUCCUAUUAAACUUAAUUUCCUAAAUUUAAACAAUACUCGUUUGAUUGUUAUUUUAUUUAAUUUAAUAA
Molecule: small RNA, 1090 nt
Filed under: Arabidopsis thaliana (thale cress)
Lineage: Eukaryota; Viridiplantae; Streptophyta; Magnoliopsida; Brassicales; Brassicaceae
Description: ATSL193560
Source: RNAcentral